UACGUAGGGUGCGAGCGUUGUCCGGAAUUACUGGGCGUAAAGAGCUCGUAGGUGGUUUGUCGCGUUGUCCGUGAAAACUCACAACUCAAUUGUGGGCGUGCGGGCGAUACGGGCAGACUGGAGUACUGCAGGGGAGACUGGAAUUCCUGGUGUAGCGGUGGAAUGCGCAGAUAUCAGGAGGAACACCAGUGGCGAAGGCGGCUUUCUGGUCUGUAACUGACGCUGAGGCGCGAAAGCGUGGGGAGCAAACAGG
Molecule: ribosomal RNA, 253 nt
Filed under: uncultured bacterium
Lineage: Bacteria
Description: partial 16S ribosomal RNA
Rfam family: Bacterial small subunit ribosomal RNA
Source: RNAcentral